Molecule: long non-coding RNA, 346 nt
Organism: Cervus elaphus (red deer)
Lineage: Eukaryota; Metazoa; Chordata; Mammalia; Artiodactyla; Cervidae
Exons: 4
Source: RefSeq, a predicted model, not a curated record
GACACGACUGAGCGACUGAACUAAACUGAACUGAACUGAGCCACCUGAGAAGCCCCAAAGGCCAUAACAGUUUCUUGAGCGUGAGAACUGCUUCAUGGUUCUACUUACUUGGCAGAGAUAUAGUUCAAAGCUCUCAAUGAAGCUGGAAUUUGAAUCCAAAGCAUUCCUGAUGGUGACCCAGAAUUUCUGCUUGAAUAUCUCUGUGCCUGUGUCACCACCUGAGGGUUCAUAUCCCUUGCUAUUGUGAAUAUGAGCAGCCCACUUUUCCCACCACCAUUUAUUGAAGAGACUGUCUUUUCUCCAAUGUACACUCUUGCCUCCUUUGUCAAAGAUUAUUUGAACGUAG